AGAGGAGUGGCGAACGGGUGAGUAACACGUGGGUAACCUGCCCAUCAGAAGGGGAUAACACUUGGAAACAGGUGCUAAUACCGUAUAACAAUCGAAACCGCAUGGUUUUGAUUUGAAAGGCGCUUUCGGGUGUCGCUGAUGGAUGGACCCGCGGUGCAUUAGCUAGUUGGUGAGGUAACGGCUCACCAAGGCCACGAUGCAUAGCCGACCUGAGAGGGUGAUCGGCCACAUUGGGACUGAGACACGGCCCAAACUCCUACGGGAGGCAGCAGUAGGGAAUCUUCGGCAAUGGACGAAAGUCUGACCGAGCAACGCCGCGUGAGUGAAGAAGGUUUUCGGAUCGUAAAACUCUGUUGUUAGAGAAGAACAAGGAUGAGAGUAACUGUUCAUCCCUUGACGGUAUCUAACCAGAAAGCCACGGCUAACUACGUGCCAGCAGCCGCGGUAAUACGUAGGUGGCAAGCGUUGUCCGGAUUUAUUGGGCGUAAAGCGAGCGCAGGCGGUUUCUUAAGUCUGAUGUGAAAGCCCCCGGCUCAACCGGGGAGGGUCAUUGGAAACUGGGAGACUUGAGUGCAGAAGAGGAGAGUGGAAUUCCAUGUGUAGCGGUGAAAUGCGUAGAUAUAUGGAGGAACACCAGUGGCGAAGGCGGCUCUCUGGUCUGUAACUGACGCUGAGGCUCGAAA
This 683-nucleotide ribosomal RNA is filed under the name uncultured Bacilli bacterium. RNAcentral's name for it is "bacterial SSU rRNA". It matches the Rfam family "Bacterial small subunit ribosomal RNA", at positions 89 to 758 of the family's 1533-position model. The record is from RNAcentral. Lineage: Bacteria; Bacillati; Bacillota; Bacilli.